Molecule: ribosomal RNA, 740 nt
Filed under: Bacillus haikouensis
Lineage: Bacteria; Bacillati; Bacillota; Bacilli; Caryophanales; Bacillaceae
Description: bacterial SSU rRNA
Rfam family: Bacterial small subunit ribosomal RNA
Source: RNAcentral
ACACGUGGGUAACCUGCCUGUGAGACUGGGAUAACUCCGGGAAACCGGGGCUAAUACCGGAUAACUCAGUUCCUCGCAUGAGGAACUGUUGAAAGGUGGCUUUCACCUACCACUUACAGAUGGACCCGCGGCGCAUUAUCUAGUUGGUGAGGUAACGGCUCACCAAGGCAACGAUGCGUAGCCGACCUGAGAGGGUGAUCGGCCACACUGGGACUGAGACACGGCCCAGACUCCUACGGGAGGCAGCAGUAGGGAAUCUUCCGCAAUGGACAAAAGUCUGACAGAGCAACGCCGCGUGAGUGAAAAAAGUUUUCGGAUCGUAAAACUCUGUUGUUAGGGAAGAACAAGUGCCGUUCGAAUAGGGCGGCACCUUGACGGUACCUAACCAGAAAGCCACGGCUAACUACGUGCCACCAGCCGCGGUAAUACGUAUGUGGCAAGCGUUGUCCGGAUUUAUUGGGCGUAAAGCGCGCGCAGGUGGUUUCUUAAGUCUGAUGUGAAAGCCCACGGCUCAACCGUGGAGGGUCAUUGUAAACUGGGGAACUUGAGUGCACAAGAGAAAAGUGGAAUUCCAAGUGUAGCGGUGAAAUGCGUAGAUAUUUGGAGGAACACCAGUGGCGAAAGCGACUUUCUGGUCUGUAACUGACACUGAGGCGCGAAAGCGUGUGGAGCAAACAGGAUUAGAUACCCUGGUAGUCCACGCCGUAAACGAUGAGUGCUAAGUGUUAGAGGGUUUCUGC